RNAcentral lists this ribosomal RNA (497 nucleotides) under uncultured bacterium. RNAcentral's name for it is "partial 16S ribosomal RNA". It matches the Rfam family "Bacterial small subunit ribosomal RNA", at positions 30 to 522 of the family's 1533-position model. The record is from RNAcentral.
AUUGAACGCUGGCGGCAUGCCUUACACAUGCAAGUCGAACGGUAACAGGUCUUCGGAUGCUGACGAGUGGCGAACGGGUGAGUAAUACAUCGGAACGUGCCCGAUCGUGGGGGAUAACGAAGCGAAAGCUUUGCUAAUACCGCAUAAGAUCUAUGGAUGAAAGCAGGGGACCGCAAGGCCUUGCGCGAACGGAGCGGCCGAUGGCAGAUUAGGUAGUUGGUGGGAUAAAAGCUUACAAAGCCGACGAUCUGUAGCUGGUCUGAGAGGACGACCAGCCACACUGGGACUGAGACACGGCCCAGACUCCUACGGGAGGCAGCAGUGGGGAAUUUUGGACAAUGGGCGAAAGCCUGAUCCAGCCAUGCCGCGUGCAGGAUGAAGGCCUUCGGGUUGUAAACUGCUUUUGUACGGAACGAAAAGACUCUUUCUAAUAAAGAGGGUCCAUGACGGUACCGUAAGAAUAAGCACCGGCUAACUAUGUGCCAGCCGCCGCCGAA